CGUGUGGCCACUUUUAUCACCCGAAAUGCGUAGCCAAGCUGCUCCAGAAAAAUGAUAAGACCGAUCGACAGAAGCUUCAAGAAAAAAUUGUUGCAGGGUAACCGUUUAUAUUUCCAGCUCACAAGUGUGCCAUCUGUAAGCGAACCGAAAACGAAAAAGUCGAAGAUUUGCAGUUUGCAGUUUGUUGAUGCAGAGGUUGAAGGGUUUUGUCCCAAUUCAAUAGAAAUGUUAUGUACAAAGAUCUGAUACGCUGACUACGUGAGUGAUAUUAAUUUUUAUAAUUGGCAUGUGGGACUUCUUGAUUACAGUUAUGAGAUGCAUGGACGUGUGAUCUUGGUCGUGUCUCCGAGAGCUUAACCAUCUGUAUAUGGUGUGAAUGUUUUGGCGCGUACUUUUGCAGCAUGGUUCGGGUAAUAACAGGUCUGAACCGAAAGAUCUGAGAAACCGUUGGAAUGGGAACAGAUGCUCGCAACUAGAAUCAUGAUCUGAUUAGAUGACACUGACUGUCUCCUGCAGUCAACUCAGCCACAAGAUAUUGUUUCUCAGGCGAGGCAGAGGCUGUAAAUUCUUCUAGAAAGCUUGGCGGCAGCCCUUCAGUUAUUUGUAUGUUACCAUAGAUUAGUGUAUGAGGACAAUGAAGGAGACAUGUGCUUGCUGGUGGUGAAUAGAGAUUUUUUUUUCCUA
Long non-coding RNA from Helianthus annuus (common sunflower), 684 nucleotides. RefSeq lists it as uncharacterized. Lineage: Eukaryota; Viridiplantae; Streptophyta; Magnoliopsida; Asterales; Asteraceae. The transcript has 3 exons. The record is from RefSeq and is a predicted model, not a curated record.